RNAcentral lists this ribosomal RNA (32 nucleotides) under Nymphoides aquatica. RNAcentral's name for it is "partial 18S ribosomal RNA". The record is from RNAcentral. Lineage: Eukaryota; Viridiplantae; Streptophyta; Magnoliopsida; Asterales; Menyanthaceae.
UUUCCGUAGGUGAACCUGCGGAGGGAUCAUUG